RNAcentral lists this ribosomal RNA (494 nucleotides) under uncultured bacterium. RNAcentral describes it as "partial 16S ribosomal RNA". It matches the Rfam family "Bacterial small subunit ribosomal RNA", at positions 29 to 507 of the family's 1533-position model. The record is from RNAcentral.
ACGAACGCUGGCGGCGUGCCUAAUACAUGCAAGUAGAACGCUGAAGGAGGAGCUUGCUUCUCUGGAUGAGUUGCGAACGGGUGAGUAACGCGUAGGUAACCUGCCUGGUAGCGGGGGAUAACUAUUGGAAACGAUAGCUAAUACCGCAUAAUAGCAGUUGUUGCAUGAUAACUGUUUGAAAGGUGCAAUUGCACCACUACCAGAUGGACCUGCGUUGUAUUAGCUAGUUGGUGGGGUAACGGCUCACCAAGGCGACGAUACAUAGCCGACCUGAGAGGGUGAUCGGCCACACUGGGACUGAGACACGGCCCAGACUCCUACGGGAGGCAGCAGUAGGGAAUCUUCGGCAAUGGACGGAAGUCUGACCGAGCAACGCCGCGUGAGUGAAGAAGGUUUUCGGAUCGUAAAGCUCUGUUGUAAGAGAAGAACGAGUGUGAGAGUGGAAAGUUCACACUGUGACGGUAUCUUACCAGAAAGGGACGGCUAACUACGUG